GGCCUGGCCUGCUUACUGGGCUAUCCAAGGUUGCAUCCUUACCGGUGUUUGGGUCAUUGCACAUGAGUGUGGCCACCAUGCAUUCAGUGACUAUCAAUGGCUUGAUGAUACAGUUGGCCUUAUUCUCCACUCUGCCCUUCUUGUGCCUUACUUUUCAUGGAAAUACAGCCAUCGCCGCCACCAUUCCAACACCGGUUCUCUUGAGCGGGAUGAAGUCUUUGUGCCCAAACAGAAGUCCAGCAUCUAUUGGUACUCCAAAUACCUUAGCAACAACCCACUAGGCAGAGUCCUCACCAUUACCAUCACCCUCACUCUUGGCUGGCCCCUUUACCUGGCUCUCAAUGUUUCAGGCAGGCCUUAUGAUAGAUUUGCUUGCCACUUUAACCCACAUGGUCCCAUUUACUCAGAUCGUGAACGUCUUCAAAUAUAUGUAUCAGAUGCAGGAAUACUUGCAGUGUGCUUCGGGCUUUACCAUCUUGC
RNAcentral lists this long non-coding RNA (480 nucleotides) under Medicago truncatula (barrel medic). Its description in RNAcentral is "long non-coding RNA (MTRU_LNC005521)". Lineage: Eukaryota; Viridiplantae; Streptophyta; Magnoliopsida; Fabales; Fabaceae. The record is from RNAcentral.